GCGUGACUCAUGUGUUGGUAAUAGAUGGCUUCUCCAGCAAAAUUGUUGGACAAGCUACUAUGCCUGUAAAGAACAACCUCACCAUCUACAAUGACGUUUACAGGAGUGCAGUAAUGGAAUAUGGGAUGUGGGACCAGGUCAGAGUGGAUCAUGGAAAGGAGUUCUACCUCACUCUUUUCAUGCAGGAGAAGUUGGCCAGCCACCGCCACAACACUGAAAGGCCACCAUAUCUCCAAACACCAUCGACAAAGAAUGGUUAACUGAAGAUAUUGAAAUGUGUGAAA
Molecule: long non-coding RNA, 284 nt
Organism: Pseudoliparis swirei
Lineage: Eukaryota; Metazoa; Chordata; Actinopteri; Perciformes; Liparidae
Exons: 3
Source: RefSeq, a predicted model, not a curated record